GGGGCUAUAGCUCAGCUGGGAGAGCGCUUGCAUGGCAUGCAAGAGGUCAGCGGUU
This 55-nucleotide transfer RNA is filed under the name Providencia alcalifaciens R90-1475. RNAcentral's name for it is "tRNA-Ala". It matches the Rfam family "tRNA", at positions 1 to 53 of the family's 71-position model. Rfam says of the family: Transfer RNA (tRNA) molecules are approximately 80 nucleotides in length. Their secondary structure includes four short double-helical elements and three loops (D, anti-codon, and T loops). The record is from RNAcentral. Lineage: Bacteria; Pseudomonadati; Pseudomonadota; Gammaproteobacteria; Enterobacterales; Morganellaceae.